This is a non-coding RNA of Lipotes vexillifer (Yangtze River dolphin), 73 nucleotides long. Lineage: Eukaryota; Metazoa; Chordata; Mammalia; Artiodactyla; Lipotidae. The record is from the annotation of a RefSeq genome assembly.
UCCCUGGUGGUCCAGUGGUUAGGACUCUGCACUCCCACUAGCAAGGGCCCGGGUUCGAUCCCUGGUCAGGGAA